GACGAACGCUGGCGGCGUGCUUAACACAUGCAAGUCGAGCGGUAAGGCCCUUUCGGGGGUACACGAGCGGCGAACGGGUGAGUAACACGUGGGUGACCUGCCCUCAGCUCUGGGAUAAGCCUGGGAAACUGGGUCUAAUACUGGAUAUGACUCCACGGUGCAUGUCGUGGGGUGGAAAGCCUUGUGCGGCUGAGGAUGGGCCCGCGG
Molecule: ribosomal RNA, 207 nt
Filed under: uncultured bacterium
Lineage: Bacteria
Description: partial 16S ribosomal RNA
Rfam family: Bacterial small subunit ribosomal RNA
Source: RNAcentral